Molecule: long non-coding RNA, 787 nt
Filed under: Zostera marina
Lineage: Eukaryota; Viridiplantae; Streptophyta; Magnoliopsida; Alismatales; Zosteraceae
Description: long non-coding RNA (ZMAR_LNC005285)
Source: RNAcentral
GGAUCUUCAUCUUCUGAUACACGCACGAUCACCUACAGUAAUAUCACUUCCAUACAUAUACAAAUAUAGACUCAUAUAUACAUACAUACUAGAACAUAAAAACUUCCGACUACAUCGAUUAAUAGUGGCUAAAUACAUUAUGAACCUAUAUGAAAGUAUUUAAUUGUCUUUGCUAUGUAAAAAUAAAUAAACCCUCAACAAAUUUUGAACCUAGAGCUUUCAAGGGAGUCUUCCUAAGAUACUCUUUGCAAAGCAAAUAAUACAAAGUCCUAAACCUAGAAAACAAUGAUAUCUUGGUUAACAGAGAUGUGGUUUUUUAUGAAAUAGUGUUUUAUUUCAAGGAAAAAGCAAAAACUCUAAAAAUAAUAAUUUUCAUAAUAUAAUGAUAGAUACAUAUGUGAUAAAGAUGCUUUGGUGCAAGAUGUUCAUAAUAAGAUGCAAGUAUUGGAAGAAGAAGUGGACUUAUCAGAAGACGACUCCGGCGACUCCGACGAGUGGGAAGAGGCUGAGGAGGACUUGCUGUCCGUUGAGAGUGAAGAGGUGGAGGCACCUGAAAUGAAUAAGGAAAGAUAAAGAGGGUUUAUACUCUAAAUGAAGCUAAAAGGCCAAGAAAGACUCCAGUCCAUUUCAAAGAUUAUGAAAUGGUUUGAACUUUGAAUAAAUUAUUUAUUUUUAUGUUAUUUAAUUUUUAAUGGACUCCUAGGUCCAUUAUUUUAAACUAUUUAAAUAUUGUAACCUUAAUUUUAGGAAUUAUCAUUGUAAUAAUCGGCUAUUGUGCCUCUCAACC